This 2379-nucleotide unclassified non-coding RNA is filed under the name Amphimedon queenslandica. RNAcentral's name for it is "uncharacterized LOC109588473, transcript variant X2". The record is from RNAcentral. Lineage: Eukaryota; Metazoa; Porifera; Demospongiae; Haplosclerida; Niphatidae.
UGGGAGGAACAGGAACUUGAUGAAGAAGCUAUACUUGAUCACUAGGAAACUAUUACCAGCAAACAACACAUCAAAUGAGACUACUAGACUUACUGCACCUCAUCAGUCUACUUUAUCAUUUGAAAAUACAGAAGAAACUUCAUCAUUUAAAAACCAAUCAAGAUCACCAGAAGAAAUAGACCUAUCUAAUCAAUAUGAUAAUGCAAGUGUCAUGUCUUCAUCUAGUUGCAUGCAUUCUGAAGUAUGUGAUGUCACAAGUUACAAUGAAGAGAGCUCAAACAUGGAGCAUGAAAAUAUAGCCAAUUCAUGCAGAACACCUGUCAAUUGUGAGGUGAAAGAAACGAAAACUGAUACUAAAGUGCAGAAUAGUGACAUUUUAAGUUUAUUAGAUUAUGUAAAGAAGAUACCUGAGAGAAAAAGACAAAGAAUCGAGAGGAAGCUUGAAGCAAAAGGUGGCAAUCACACGAUGUUACAUAUCAUUGAUACUGGAGGACAGCCUGAGUUUCAUGAAAUAUUACCAGCUCUCAUAACUGGCCCGGCUAUCAAUCUACUGGUAUUCAAACUAACUGAAGAUUUAAGAAGUCGCUAUAAAAUAAUAUAUCGAACUUCUGCUGGUGAUUCUGAACCUUAUGAAACCUCAUUGACACAUGAAGAAGUGAUAUUCCGUUCACUAGCAAGUAUAGCUUGUUUAAGACAGAACACUAUUGGAUGGAGUUUUGAUGAAGUACCUAUUGAAGAUAAGUCAGAACCUGUUGCCUUCCUUAUUGCUACACACAGGGACCAAGUGGAUGAGAAUAAAGUGAAUGAAGUCAAUGAACAACUGCAAACAAAAAUUAAAAAGAGUUCAGAUUUGUUUAAUGAAAACCUUGUACAAUUCUCUAAAGAAGAACAAGUCAUUUUUCCGCUUGACACGACAAAGGAUGAAGAAAAAGUAGAACAUCUUCGCUUUUUUCUUCACCAGGUUAUAUCUCAAAAAUUUCAGGAAUUAAAAAUACCAGCACCUUGGUGUAUUUUUAGUUUAAAAUUAAGAAAAAGUACAAAAAAACUUUUCCAUUAUGAUUCAUGUUUCAACUUAGGUAAAGAGUGUGGUAUCCAAGAUACUGUAGAGUUUAAAAACGUUUUGUGGUAUUUGCAUCACAGAGUGGGUAUCAUCAUGCAUUAUCCUAAUGUAGCAGGUUUAGAGGAUGUUAUUAUCACUGAUCUUCAACUGGUGUUUGAUCGUAUCACUAAUCUCAUCACAACAUGCUUCACUUUUGAACAGUCAGGCAGUGCUGCUGUGGGAGAAGAAUUCCGUAAAAAUGGACGUUUUUCAGAAUCACAACUAGAUGAGAUGUCAUCAAGAGAGAAAGGUGAUCCUCUUAAUACAAAGAAACUAGUAGCACUACUGAAGCAUCUUUAUAUUGUAGCUGGUCCUAUGAAAACUAAAGUUGGUCGAAAAACUGUCAAGUAUUACUUUAUGCCUUGUGCUCUGAAACCAGCAGAUGUCGAAAAAGAGGAGAGAAAUGGAUCAGUUAGUCCAGCUCCUUUAUUGAUAUGUUUUGAGUGCGGGUAUACUCCUGUUGGUGUAUUCUGUUGUCUAGUAGUGUAUCUUCUUGAUCAGAAAACAGACCAAGUGUUGGAAUGGAAGUUAACUGGUAAUGAUCAAUAUCGUAAUAGGAUUACCUUUCAAGUUGGUCAGUACUAUGAUACAGUUACCUUAAUCAGUUGUGCUACUUAUCUUGAAGUUUGGGUUCAACAAAUAAAAGGCUCAAAGCUGUCAACAAGUGAAUUAUUAUCAUCAUUGGACAAAGGAGUAGACAUAGUUACACAGUCACUCCAUUACACUUACAAGUCAAAGCAUAUGUUUGGAGUGCAAUGUACAUGCACUGCAGUACCUCAUCCUGCUGUGAUUGGCUUUAAUGAAGAAGCAACUAAAUGUGUGAAUGGCAGAAUAGUGGAGUUUAAUGAGAAGCAAUUGUACUGGUCCACUAAGGUUGUUAAGCUGAACAACACAACACAAAAUACAAGCUGUGAAAUACCAUCUCAAACUGAAUCCCACGUUCCUAAAAGUUUUUCAUUCCAUGACACAGCUGCAAUAGAUACAGAAGUUUGUCCUAGAGACUUGUUUCGUCAAUGCUCAGCUGAUAUUACCCAUUGUGUUUCGUUAGAUGUAGUACGUGUUGCUGAUAGACUGUUUGCUGCAAAAGUGAUACCUGAAGCAUUAAGAAAUGAAAUCUCCAGUUUAACAGUUCUUAUUCAAAUCCCACUGAGUAUCUUACUGAUGUGUGCUAUGCAUUGCUCCUAAUAGACAAUGAAACACUUAAGCACAUUCUUAAUAGUAUAUUAAAGGAGUUGGGAAAACCUCAAGAAAGCAAAGAGGAUAUGAGUAAAAGCUCUAAU